GUCCUCUUUUAUUGGUUUUGUGGACUGAGAUAAUGGUUAACAGGGACAAACGGGGGCAUUCGUAUCGCUGCGUGAGAGGUGAAAUUCUUGGACCGUAGCGAGACGCCCUACUGCGAAAGCAUUUGCCAAGAAUGUCUUCAUUAAUCAAGAACGAAAGUCAGAGGUUCGAAGGCGAUCAGAUACCGCCCUAGUUCUGACCGUAAACGAUGCCAACUAGCGAUCCGCCGGUGGAUUUUUAGCCCUGGUGGGUAGCUUCCCGGAAACGAAAGUCUUCCGGUUCCGGGGGAAGUAUGGUUGCAAAGCUGAAACUUAAAGGAAUUGACGGAAGGGCACCACCAGGAGUGGAGCCUGCGGCUUAAUUUGACUCAACACGGGGAAACUCACCCGGCCCGGACACCGUAAGGAUUGACAGAUUGAUAGCUCUUUCAUGAUUCGGUGGUUGGUGGUGCAUGGCCGUUCUUAGUUCGUGGAUCGAUUUGUCUGGUUUAUUCCGAUAACGAGCGAGACUCUAGCCUACUAAAUAGUAACGAGAUUGCCAUUGUCUUAGUUGCUUCUUAGAGGGAUUUUCGGUGUUUAGCCGCACGAGAUUGAGCAAUAACAGGUCUGUGAUGCCCUUAGAUGUCCGGGGCUGCACGCGCGCUACACUGGCGAAAUCAGCGUGCUGUAUCCAUUCUCGAAAGGGAUUGGUAAACCCAUGAAAAUUUGCCGUGCUUGGGAUCGGAAAUUGCAAUUAUUUUCCGUGAACGAGGAAUCCAAGUAAGUGCGAGUCAUCAGUCGUCUUCCA
RNAcentral lists this ribosomal RNA (784 nucleotides) under Eucephalobus sp. MA-2012. RNAcentral's name for it is "SSU rRNA". It matches the Rfam family "Eukaryotic small subunit ribosomal RNA", at positions 833 to 1645 of the family's 1831-position model. The record is from RNAcentral. Lineage: Eukaryota; Metazoa; Nematoda; Chromadorea; Rhabditida; Cephalobidae.